Molecule: long non-coding RNA, 306 nt
Filed under: Lathyrus oleraceus (garden pea)
Lineage: Eukaryota; Viridiplantae; Streptophyta; Magnoliopsida; Fabales; Fabaceae
Description: Pisum sativum (pea) long non-coding RNA (PSAT_LNC019988)
Source: RNAcentral
AAGUCCUCGAUGAGGAUUAGGGUCCUCAUGCCUACGUAUCGUCAUAGUGCAAUGAGGAAUUCAGAGCUUCGUAGUUCAAGGAACUAGAGGCGGGAUAUGAAAAGAAUUGUGAUAAAGGUAUGGUCUGAACCAAAGAAUUGAGUGUUUUGAACUCCAACAAGGGUGAAAAGAUGAACCAAAGAGUAACAUGGUUAUUACCAAUACGCGGGCUAGUAGGGACGCCGCUAUAGGGUAAAACCGAAAAGACGAAGAAAUAAGUGUUUGGGUACAGUCCCAAACAUCUCUUGGUACACAAGGUGAAGCAAG